CCCUGGGUCAGGUGAUUUCUGCCGGCCCACGGUACGGUAG
RNAcentral lists this non-coding RNA (40 nucleotides) under Geotalea daltonii FRC-32. The record is from RNAcentral. Lineage: Bacteria; Pseudomonadati; Thermodesulfobacteriota; Desulfuromonadia; Geobacterales; Geobacteraceae.